Molecule: non-coding RNA, 5178 nt
Organism: Tetranychus urticae (two-spotted spider mite)
Lineage: Eukaryota; Metazoa; Arthropoda; Arachnida; Trombidiformes; Tetranychidae
Source: RefSeq, a predicted model, not a curated record
UCCUUGUCUUCCUCUUUUACUCACCAAACCCUCUCUUGCAUCUUCCUCAACUCUUACAUUUCUCAUUGGUUAUCGUUCUCACUCACUCUCUCACUUAGUCUCUCCUGGUUGGUAAAGUUUUUUUUCCAGAAACAGACAUUUUCACAAGUAAAUCCAGUUUCCAUUCAUGUUGUAAAGUGUCUCGAGUAGCCAACGAAGGAAACGUUCAUCGUUCCCUUGCAACCACACCAGUUGGGUUACUCGAUGCCAGUUGAAACACUUUCAUUGUGCAAGACUGUCAACCUUUACUUAUCAAUGUUAUCUUAUCAAAGGAAAAAUGUUUUUUUCUUCUUUUUCGUUUCCUUUUCCUUCUUGAGCACUUUUCACAUUUCACUCUUGUUUCUCAUUCAUCAUAUGCAAGUUUACUAGUUGCCGUCAAUGAAACCCAAAGGUUAACUCAACACACGGAUUUAACAAGGUUAACAACGAGACCGAUCAACGUCAACACGACUCAUUGAAGACUCAACAAGCAUUGAACACCAAACACAACCCAUUUCACAGUUAACAGAGUGAAACAAAUCUCAUCUUGAAUCACACUUUUCACCUCCUCUCCUUGUCUGCCUCACCCACACAUGAAGCAGCACACAAACACACACUCUUCACCUCCUACUUUGACACUUUACUUUUUCAUCUCACGUCUUCAUCAUCAAAUGAUCAUUAAGUGAGACUAAAAGUGAACAACAACAAAAAAAUGAAGAGCAAAAGCAAAGAUCAGAACGAGAAUGAUUGGAUUUACCGAGGAAACCCAAAAGAAGCAUUCAUUGAUAUUGGACGAGUGACUAUUAGUGUUGUUUAACUGGACCAUUGACGUGUAAACCCACUUGUUAAACUGGACUUUACGACGAAUCUAUUUCUUUACAACAAAAGAUUUUCCGUUUUUCAUCAGUUGAUCAAUUUUGUGAUUCAAUAUGGAUUUACCAUUAAAAUGUUCAUUUCAAGGAAUUCGAAAACUUGGAAUUUGCCCACUUUUCUGGACUUGCGGUUCUUCAUGGUUAAUAUAUUUCACCAGCUUUUCCAUGGUUUGCAAGGUUGAAAGGUGAAAUGUAAAUGCUGGAUUUCACAAGGAGAAGCAAAGGAAUAACGAGCGAAACGAAAAAAAAGUUUCCAUUUUUAUCCUGACAACUUGACAUGUUUCAAAAUCAUCAUCACCAAAGGCUAACCUUUUUCAUCUCUUUGUAUUCCAAUGCAUCAACAGUGAGUUUCAUCAAAUAGAUUUACUCUUAUUUUCCUUCUCAGUUUGCCAUUUUUGGACGAAAAAAAGUGAAGAUAAAUUUUUUUCUUGCUCAACUUCAUCUUUAAAUGCACCUCAACUCGACAUUUGAUGAAAUUUUGAUAAAAAAACUCAAAUUCUCAAGAGUCAAAUGAGUUUAAAAUGAAAAUUUACAUUGUUUUUGUUCCAUUAAGUAAUCAUUUUGAAGAGUUGGAAAAGAUUUACUUUUCAAAUUUUUUCAAAAGCGAAAUGAAAGAGUAAGAACAGGUGAAAGGUAAAACUGAUAUUGUUGCCAAGGUUGAAGGAAAGGUUGAACUGGACUUGAUUUGCCUAUUUUGCUUUGUAACCUUAAUCCUCUUGAAUAGCAAUUUAGUUGAUGAUAAUGAUGAUAAUAGCAUUAAUGCGUAAAACAGAAAAGGUAAGAAAAUGCUUUUUCAAUGAAAAGUUGAGGGUGAAAAUGAAGAGUAGAACAAGCAAUAUCAGGUAAGAAUAUCGAUUUUUACUUUUUUUUGCCUCUCUUUUCUCUUCUCUUCAUAUUGCAUGGUAUUGGAUGAUGGUGAGAUGAUGAGGGGAGAAAAAAUCGAUUUGUGACAUUUUCUCUCUUGUUUACUCUCUCUUUCCAACUUUCAUGUUCAUCUCUUCUCAUGAUGAAUAGAUUGGCAACACAAUCGAAGGAUUAACAAAGCAUCAGUCAAGGGCGGAAGGACAAUUGAAAAAUGAUGACAAUGAUGAUGAUGAUGAGGGUAACUUUGGUGAUUAUGUUGGCGAUGAGAUGAAGUAAAGGUUGAAAGGAAAUGUUGAAAAUUGGAAAUGAAAAAAAAGAAGAAGAAAAUUGAAUAACGAAAAGGGAAAAAAGAGGAAAAUUGAGUGACAAAAAAUUCUUGAGUGACCCUUACAACGAUGAUGAAGAUAACAUUUUUUUUCAUAAAUAUAUUUUUCUCAAGUUUACCAGUCGAGAAAUUGUAGUGUAAAACUAUCAUCUAUCAAACAAUUUGAAUGACCCAUGAUAGUUGUGACUGCAAGUGGAAAGGAUUUUCACUUGAUAUUGCCAGAGAGAAGAUAAAAAAUGUAGAAAAGAGCAAAAAUUGGAAAAGUAAUAAUGUUACCUUUCUUGUCUUCAUCAUCAUCUUUUCAUCAUUUUUUGCUUCUUAUCGAUUGCAAGGUGCUCCAGCAUUUUGUUUCAUCUUGAAUUUUGCGAUUUUUUUCUCCACUUCUUUUCAUGACAGAAGUUGAGGAGCAAAAAAAGUCGAUGAUGAUGAUUGUUCUAGAAUAGAUAUUCUUGGAGUAAUUCAAGUAGUAAUCAAAGUUUCAUCUUGUUUUUUUUCUGCUGGACCCAACUUUUGCUUCUCUUUACUACUUUGACCCCUUUUUUGGCUCUCUUGGUAAAGGUUAACUGAACAAUGAACUGGUUAAUCCAUUUGAUUUUCAUCUCGUGAUACAAAUAUCCUUGACAGUUGUUAAUCGACUUUUAAUAACCUCUUAAUCUACUUUGAGAUUAGUUCGAGAAAACUCGAUAAAGUUGAUACAUUUUGUUUGGAAAGAGAUUAAUGGUUUCAAAGCCAAAACGGCACUUGAGGACACAUGACGCUAUUUAAGCUACAGUAAAGUCUAGUAGUCAGAGUUGAUAAAACUGACAAGACAAAACCUAAAAAUCAAUCCAAUUCUGACUCUUUUACUCGAGAAGACUGUUGAAGAAGAAGAUGAAGUGGGACAAUUGUAAGACUGUCGAUCCGUGAAGAAGGUUCCGUUCUAAACUAAUAAAGAAACUCGGACCAUCGAGUAGCUAGUUUCCUCCGAAUUUUCCCUCAGAAUAGCUGGCACCAAUGGAAGUAUCAGUAGAGCGAAUGAUUGGAAGUCUUGAAGUCGAAAUGGUCUCAACCUAUUCUCAAACUCCUAAUGAUGCGAAGUUCAACUUGUUAAACUUUUAAAGCUGAACAUACUUUUGAAUGACGUUAUCCAGUAGCAUUAAGCAGAACUGGUGAACCAAAUGUUUGUUAUUGUCAGAAAGAGCCCUUUGUUGGAUCGAUUGUUUUAGAAAAAUGAAAAUUUUCUGUUUUACGGUUUGGCCCACACCUCGCUUCAUGAUAAAACUUUACCAAUAGAACCCUCGAGGGCUGAAUAUGCCAAAAGUUUUUCCAGCUUUGGCAAAUGAAGUUUAAAAUUUUAAUCAUCAAAGUAACCGCAUCUAUCAAGGUUUUCAUUCAAUUUAUUUUUGCUUGUUGAAUAACCCAAUGACGAAGCCAGUCAACUGAGCAAGCAAAGUCAACCAGACAAACUUUUCAACUUUAGUCACAAAAGUCGACGCCACAAAUGUAAACUUUUAGUCUGAAACUUUUGUUACCAGCAUAAUACAGUUACACUUGAAGAGCCUUGAACCAGUUCAUCAUUUCGAUUUUCAUUAGCAAUGGGCAAACAUUUUUCUCUGCUCAUUGUUUUAUUGAAUAAGCUUCGUCAUAAGAUAUCCAAUGGAGAACAAAAAACAAAAUCAAAUUGAUUCGAUUCCCAGUUGAGAAUGAAAAGAACAUCACUUUUAUCGUAUCAUGGAAUGAAAAGGCAGCAAUUUUGUUGUCAAUAUGAGACCCAAAAAAGCCAAACAAAUGGUUGAAUCAAUUAUAUGAAAAAAAUGGUGAAUCAAUCAAGAGGUAAAAUGAAAGACAAAACAGAAUGAAAAGAAGGAGAAAAAUGAAUUUUUCCAAGAUGGACAUUGAACCUUUUUCGCCCAUGAUCAACAUGCAAAAAUGAUUGAACUUAAAUUGGUAUUGCACCAAGAGAAAAAAGUAUAAAGGCAAAGAUGAAGAAGAAGAAAAGUUCCAACUGUUAUCAUAUUUCUUUCGUCAGUAAACAAUACAAAGUAAACAAGAGAUGAAAAAUAUUUGACAAUUUGUUGAGAAGAAGAAGUAAAAGUGAAACGAAAAUGAAUUUGAAAUUGUUAUCUCCUUAUUAUCAUCAUUUCUGAAUCUAUUUUGACCAUUGAAUAAACUCAGCAUAAGCUUAACUCACGACGAACAAAUGAAAAAGAAAAUAAAUUGAAAAUAAAAUAUUUCACUUUUUCUUCUUUUCCAUUAUUCUUUGCCAUCAUUGAAUGCUAUAGAUUUUUGUGUCUCUUUACAUUCUCAUAUAAUAUAUAAAUAUACAUAUCAAUUCCUUUUGCAUCAUCAUUCUGCCAUCUUCAUCUCUUCAAGUUGAGCAUGAGAAGCAAGAGAAGAAGAGAAAAAAUGAAAAUUGGAAAGAAAAGAAAUCUUUCCAAUUUCCAGAAUUUUUAUUAUUGUAAAUCUUUGUGUGUCUAACAUUCUUGGUAGUUUCUGGUAAAGAAGAAAAUGUUUUUUUUCUCUUUCAUCAUUUUCAUCUUUUUUUGCUUUUCGUUGCUGCUCACUGCUUCAUCUUCAUCCCUUGUAUAAUCAGCUAUGUAAGUAAAUUUCAUUGCUCAACAUCAGAUGAGGAAAAAAAAGAGUUUCAUCUUCAUCUUGAACCAAUUUUCUCUUUAUACACUUUCUUUCAUCCUUUAUUCUGUAUCAACAGUAAAAUCAGAAGAAGAGUUGAAAUUCAGUUUUUUUCUCCUCUUUCAUGGUAAAAUGCUAAAUAGUAUCUGUAAAUGUUGAUACAAUGUUUUGCUUUUCAUUUUGCAAAGGCAAGGCAACUGAAAGAAGGAUGAUGCUGAUGAUGAAGGGAACAAAAAAUUCAAUUCUUGGUUUCAACUUUUUUUUUCUUCUUCUUCUCUUGCACUUUACAACCAAAAAUAACCAACUUUUAGUUUACACUUAAUCAUAAAGAAACUGGUUAUUCUCAAAUCAAUUUUUCUCAUCGCAUUCAAUUGCUUUCCAGUUUCUAGUUUUUCAUGGUUAUGAAAAUGCUUUUCCAACUUGAACAUUAUUCAGUUUAAUUUAAAUCUUUAUUGACAAAUGCUGAUUUCACUUGAAGAUAGACUGGUA